ACACGACUAUAUUAGACUACCCUGUAGUCCUAGCCGUAAACGAUACUCGCUAGGUGUCGGCCACGGUGCGACCGUUGUCGGUGCCGUAGGGAAGCCGUGAAGCGAGCCACCUGGGAAGUACGGCCGCAAGGCUGAAACUUAAAGGAAUUGGCGGGGAGCACCACAAGAGGUGGAGGCUGCGGUUCAAUUGGACUCAACGCCGGAAAACUCAUCGGGAGCGACAGCAGUAUGAUUGCCAGGUUGAUGACCUUGCUUGACAAGCUG
RNAcentral lists this ribosomal RNA (264 nucleotides) under uncultured archaeon. Its description in RNAcentral is "partial 16S ribosomal RNA". It matches the Rfam family "Archaeal small subunit ribosomal RNA", at positions 717 to 982 of the family's 1478-position model. The record is from RNAcentral.